CUUACCAUUGCUUGUAAGCUGGAUUGAGUAAGAUGGAUCAUCUUUAAAGGAACCAGGAGUUAAGGCAGAUGUGGAGGCACACGGGUGACACCAGACACACACCAAGCACAUUGUUCGGACAUUCAAUCAUGACAUGAUCCAUGUGGAUGCUGUCCAUUGAGGAAAGAGUUUGUUCAGAGGUUUCUGGACAGAAUUAAUCCCAAAGAUGGGAAAAAGUGCACAUCCACACAAGGAGCAAGCAAAAAGACAAGGAACUUGGUGCAGAGAAAAGCUGUGGCCAUUAACCCCCAUGUGAACAGCUUCAUGCAGUCCCUGAUAGAGUUUGAAUGGG
This is a long non-coding RNA of Paramisgurnus dabryanus, 331 nucleotides long. RefSeq lists it as uncharacterized. NCBI's taxonomy places the organism in Eukaryota, Metazoa, Chordata, Actinopteri, Cypriniformes, Cobitidae. The record is from RefSeq and is a predicted model, not a curated record.